GGUUCGGUAGUUCAGCUGGUUAGAAUGCAAGCCUGUCACGCUUGAGGUCGUGGGUUCGAGCCCCAUCCGAAUCGCCA
RNAcentral lists this transfer RNA (77 nucleotides) under Clostridiales bacterium. RNAcentral describes it as "tRNA-Asp". It matches the Rfam family "tRNA". Rfam says of the family: Transfer RNA (tRNA) molecules are approximately 80 nucleotides in length. Their secondary structure includes four short double-helical elements and three loops (D, anti-codon, and T loops). Lineage: Bacteria; Bacillati; Bacillota; Clostridia; Eubacteriales. The record is from RNAcentral.